Long non-coding RNA from Dermacentor silvarum, 332 nucleotides. RefSeq lists it as uncharacterized. The transcript has 3 exons. The record is from RefSeq and is a predicted model, not a curated record. NCBI's taxonomy places the organism in Eukaryota, Metazoa, Arthropoda, Arachnida, Ixodida, Ixodidae.
GCGUCACUGCUGAUGGAGCUGCCACGUACGUGGACGGCGGCGCCCGAGAAGACCUUUUCUGAAGAGAAUGCGUGCCUGGCGAUUGUCACUUGCAGUCGCAACUUUUACAAAGUGGCAGCUGGCCUCCAUGGGGCGGUGCAGACAGGGGACUGUCAUUGCUGGAGCACCUCGUGGCUAUCCACAGGAAAUGGAAAAAACAUGCUGUUUUCACAACGCGGACGACACCGUGUCAAAGGAAGUUAUGGAAAAGAGACUGAAGGCAGUGCACUGGUACCCCUUGCAGCAAUUGGGUAAUCUGCUGUAGUAGUGAAAUUUGCAAUAAAGUUUUAUCU